This 467-nucleotide ribosomal RNA is filed under the name uncultured bacterium. Its description in RNAcentral is "partial 16S ribosomal RNA". It matches the Rfam family "Bacterial small subunit ribosomal RNA", at positions 28 to 506 of the family's 1533-position model. The record is from RNAcentral.
GACGAACGCUGGCGGCGUGCUUAACACAUGCAAGUCGAACGGAAAGGCCCUGCUUUUGUGGGGUGCUCGAGUGGCGAACGGGUGAGUAACACGUGAGUAACCUGCCCUUGACUUUGGGAUAACUUCAGGAAACUGGGGCUAAUACCGGAUAGGAGCUCCUGCUGCAUGGUGGGGGUUGGAAAGUUUCGGCGGUUGGGGAUGGACUCGCGGCUUAUCAGCUUGUUGGUGGGGUAGUGGCUUACCAAGGCUUUGACGGGUAGCCGGCCUGAGAGGGUGACCGGCCACAUUGGGACAGGGAUACGGCCCAGACUCCUACGGGGGGCAGCAGUGGGGAAUAUUGCACAAUGGGCGGAGGCCUGAUGCAGCAACGCCGCGUGCGGGAUGACGGCCUUCGGGUUGUAAACCGCUUUCGCCUGUGACGAAGCGUGAGGGACGGUAAUGGGUAAAGAAACACCGGCUAACUACGU